CUUUCCGCUAUAUAGAUGAUGUUCUUUCACUAAACAAUUCAAAAUUUGGUGACUAUGUGGAACGCAUCUAUCCAAUCGAACUAGAGAUAAAGGAUACUACAGAUACAGUUAAGUCGGCUUCAUAUCUUGACUUACAUCUAGAAAUUGACAAUGAAGGUCGGUUGAAAACAAAACUUUACGACAAAAGAGAUGAUUUCAGCUUUCCAAUUGUGAACUUUCCAUUUCUAAGUAGCAACAUUCCAGCAGCACCUGCAUACGGGUAUAUAUCUCCAAUUGAU
Molecule: long non-coding RNA, 278 nt
Filed under: Mytilus galloprovincialis (Mediterranean mussel)
Lineage: Eukaryota; Metazoa; Mollusca; Bivalvia; Mytilida; Mytilidae
Source: RNAcentral